CACACUCCUGGAAGUAUAAAAACGUAACAAGGUCUCCGUUGGUGAACCAGCGGAGGGAUCAUUACAGAGUACUUUACACUCAUAAACCCCUGUGAACUUACCAUUUUUUGUUGCUUCGGCGGGCUGUGCCUGACCCUCCCUUGCGGGGGAUACGGUACGCUAAAGGUCCGCCGAGGGUACCUAAACUCUUUAUCAUUUUUAAUGAAUUCUGAAUCAAAAACAAAUAAAUCAAAACUUUUAACAACGGAUCUCUUGGUUCUGGCAUCGAUGAAGAACGCAGCGAAAUGCGAUAAGUAAUGUGAAUUGCAGAAUUCAGUGAAUCAUCGAAUCUUUGAACGCACAUUGCGCCUAUUAGUAUUCUAAUAGGCAUGCCUGUUCGAGCGUCAUUUCACCCCUCAAGCUUCAUUGCUUGGUGUUGGGACGUUACCGCGCAAGCGGUAAGUCCUCAAAUCUAGUGGCAAGAUCAGGGCAUCUCUGAGCGUAGUAAAUCUUUUAUCUCGCUUUGGUCAGGUGUCCUGGUGGUAGCCAUAAACCUAUUUUAUUUUGAAUAGUUGACCUCGGAUCAGGUAGAAUGCCCCC
RNAcentral lists this ribosomal RNA (579 nucleotides) under fungal endophyte sp. E11-3111. Its description in RNAcentral is "eukaryotic LSU rRNA". The stretch from base 233 to 386 matches the Rfam family "5.8S ribosomal RNA". Lineage: Eukaryota; Fungi. The record is from RNAcentral.